Felis catus (domestic cat) is the source of this 2492-nucleotide long non-coding RNA. RefSeq lists it as uncharacterized. Lineage: Eukaryota; Metazoa; Chordata; Mammalia; Carnivora; Felidae. The record is from RefSeq and is a predicted model, not a curated record. The transcript has 3 exons.
AACUCCCCCACCGUUUGCUUCAAAUAUUACUUCCUGUUCCGAACCACUGUCAGAGCGUCUCCUUUAACAAGGCUUCCCUGCCUCCCUGGGUUAGAAGAGAACAGAUUUCCACCUGAGCAGCGAGGGAGGGGCGGCGGGAAGAACUCGGGCCCCAGGAGGACUUGAUGGGGGAUCGUUUCUAAGCUGCUCGACUUUCCAGUUUUGAGAGAGCGGGCAAGCCCUCCGAGCCCAUCCCCGCCUCCCUCCCGUUAGACCUGAUGUACAGACGCCUGUCCUCCCAUUUUCCCUCCUGCUUUGAAAACCCAGAACGGGGACACCUGUGAGUCCGGUCCUCUUCCCCAGCCUUCGUCCUGGGAGGUGACAGCUCACUGCGGCCCUUGGGGAUCUGCUUCUUGUGCGUCCAAGCUGCAGGGCUCAGGCAUUUCACCAGAAGGCCGCAGAGGCAGACCCGGAACCUGGCCAACAGCCAGAGCACGGUGGCCAAAGGCUAGGCGUGCGGCUGAACCCAACGAGAGUCCCCUCGGCCGAUGUGCAGCGAGCCCACGGAAACCACCACCCAGUGUCGCAGUGAGGAAUGACGGGCUAAGUGUCGGUCUGGCCCCACCCGGGAAACUGGGAGCCAGUGCUCUCAAGUCCCGAACUCCCUGACGGCUUGCAAGUGAGGGUUUUUUCAAGGGCAACAUUUGGGGCAGGGGUCUCCUGAGAAGGUGGGCGCCGUUGACUGGAGCCCCGUGAGGUCGUGUUAGAAAAACCUGUGUUCCUGCUUCAUCCGGGCCCCUGGAGGUGAUUCCCUGUCAGGGGAUUUGCAGUGUGAAAAAUGCCUCCAUUCCUCACAUUGGGGGUGUCACCAGUCUGCAGAUUCAGAUGAGCUUGUUCUUAGGAGGCAAGCUGCCGGUGGUUGUUGCGCUUCGCUGGACUUUAAUCCUCGGUCUCUCCCUCCUCGGCCACUUCCACAUUCUAGACCGGAUCCUCCCUGGAAGAACGAACCGAGCACGGACACUCGGCGUGGAGGUGCCCCGCACUUCCGAGUUGGCACCCUCACGUCCACCCUCCCAUCCUGCCCUCACCAGCAGGACCAGGGUCUGGGAUAACAGAACAGGAGGAGGGAACCGCAGAGUUGAGAGCGGACGGAGGAGGCAAAGCGACAUGCUGCCCCCAGCUGCCCAAGAUGUGCAUUGCAAUCACCUCCAAUUCAACUGCUUUCUCCUAAAAUGCCUUCAGCUGCCCAUUAGUGGGAAAUUACAGAAUAAAGAAAAUAAAGACGAUGUCCCCGGAACAUUUUUUCCAGUGCUUAAAGUGCCCCCAACUUCCAGGGAUCCAGGGUCUUCAGAAUAUAAACCACUGAGUUUAUAGGUAAAACUGUUUAUGUGGGAUGCUUUUCCUCUGCAAAUAAUAAUUUAGGAAGAGAUCAGAAAUGGCAGUCAGCAGGGGCCCUGGUCCUGGCACCUCAUUUCCUGCCCAUGGAACCAGUGGGGGACAUGGUUUCCUGAGCACACAGGCUCUGCACCAAAUCCAGAUAUGAUCAACCACCCCAGGAGGCGGUUAUACUCCGGUGAGAAAUGCAGACGUACUCUCCGACCUGAAGUUAUAUGCAAUUAUUAUUACUUAAGUAGGCUUUGUGCCCAAUGCAGAUCCCAACGUGGAUCUUGAACUCACAACCCUGAGACCAUGACCUGAGUUGAGAUCAAGAGUCAGAUGCUUCAUCGACUGAGCCACCCAGGCUCCCUGACAAUUAUUAUCGUUAACGUAAAUGUCUAUCAGGGAAUAUUUAUAUUAUCUCCCAGAGCCUAGAUUGGUAUAGAGUGCCUAAUUGCUGAAAAUUAUCAAGGAUGUUCGUGGGGAAAAUGGGGACUAGUUAAGUGUUAGAAAGCGAAAUCACGAAAGUGCAAAAGAGUUAACACAGUGUGGCUGAGACCACUGUCCUCAAGAAAGGCCUGCUUGCAAGACUGGCCCUUCACCGGUAUCUGGGAACCCAGAUUUUGGGAGGAUUCCCUCCAAUCCCUGAUAAUAGGCUCCCUAUGCCUACGCUGUGCUAUGAUAACUCCUGCUGCUGAGAACCUGCUUUCCUUCUGGGAAUCUGGAAUUUGGGGACGUGCCACACGAAGUGCCUAUAUGACUUGCCCCCAGUGAAAGCCCGGGGAGCUGACUCUCUAAGGAACCUAGACCUGGUCGACAAUCUUUGACACACACGUUGCCACAACUCAUUGCUGGGCGGCGUGUCCCGAGUGACUCCACAGGACAGGGUUUAGAAGCUUUUGCCUGGUUUCCUCUGGACUUCGUCUCCUGUGCCUUUCUCUUUCCUGAUUCGACUUCCUUUCCUCUGGUGAAAGUAAAUCAGAGCCAUGAACAUUGCUGUACGCUGAGUCCUGGGAGUCCUCCCAGCAGAUCAUCAACCUGGGGGUGGUCUCAGAGACCCCGAUCGACACCCAGCUUCCAGUUCUGGCGGGACCAGCAAAGCUGACACACUCAUGCCUGGCUGGAGAGCAACAUUG